This 492-nucleotide ribosomal RNA is filed under the name uncultured bacterium. RNAcentral describes it as "partial 16S ribosomal RNA". It matches the Rfam family "Bacterial small subunit ribosomal RNA", at positions 29 to 507 of the family's 1533-position model. The record is from RNAcentral.
AGUGAACGCUGGCGGUAGGCCUAACACAUGCAAGUCGAACGGCAGCACAGUAAGAGCUUGCUCUUACGGGUGGCGAGUGGCGGACGGGUGAGGAAUACAUCGGAAUCUACUUUUUCGUGGGGGAUAACGUAGGGAAACUUACGCUAAUACCGCAUACGACCUACGGGUGAAAGCAGGGGAUCUUCGGACCUUGCGCGAUUGAAUGAGCCGCUGUCGGAUUAGCUAGUUGGCGGGGUAAAGGCCCACCAAGGCGACGAUCCGUAGCUGGUCUGAGAGGAUGAUCAGCCACACUGGAACGGGGACACGGUCCAGGCUCCUACGGGAGGCAGCAGUGGGGAAUAUUGGACAAUGGGCGCAAGCCUGAUCCAGCCAUACCGCGUGGGUGAAGAAGGCCUUCGGGUUGUAAAGCCCUUUUGUUGGGAAAGAAAAGCAGCAGGUUAAUACCCCGCUGUUCUGACGGUACCCAAAGAAUAAGCACCGGCUAACUUCGUG